CCUACGGGAGGCAGCAGUGGGGAAUAUUGGGCAAUGGAGGAAACUCUGACCCAGCAACGCCGCGUGAAUGAUGGAGGUCUUCGGAUUGUAAAGUUCUUUUCUAAGGGAAGAAGAAAGUGACGGUACCUUAGGAAUAAGCCUCGGCUAACUACGUGCCAGCAGCCGCGGUAAUACGUAGGAGGCGAGCGUUAUCCGGAAUGACUGGGCGUAAAGGGGGCGUAGGUGGUUUGGCAAGUUAGUAGCGUAACUCCAAGGCUCAACCUUGGAACUACUACUAAAACUGUUGGACUUGAGUGCAGGAGGGGCAACCGGAAUUCCUAGUGUAGCGGUGGAAUGCGUAGAUAUUAGGAGGAACACCAGUGGCGAAGGCGGGUUGCUAGACUGUAACUGACACUGAGGCACGAAAGCGUGGGGAGCAAACAGGAUUAGAUACCCCAGUAGUC
Molecule: ribosomal RNA, 443 nt
Filed under: uncultured bacterium
Lineage: Bacteria
Description: partial 16S ribosomal RNA
Rfam family: Bacterial small subunit ribosomal RNA
Source: RNAcentral